Molecule: transfer RNA, 65 nt
Filed under: Tetralia rubridactyla
Lineage: Eukaryota; Metazoa; Arthropoda; Malacostraca; Decapoda; Tetraliidae
Description: tRNA-Cys
Rfam family: tRNA
About the family: Transfer RNA (tRNA) molecules are approximately 80 nucleotides in length. Their secondary structure includes four short double-helical elements and three loops (D, anti-codon, and T loops).
Source: RNAcentral
GAUUCUGUAGUUAAAGGUUUAUAACAUUAGAUUGCAAAUCUAAAGAUGUGUUGUCACUAGGAUUU